RNAcentral lists this ribosomal RNA (481 nucleotides) under uncultured bacterium. RNAcentral's name for it is "partial 16S ribosomal RNA". It matches the Rfam family "Bacterial small subunit ribosomal RNA", at positions 30 to 506 of the family's 1533-position model. The record is from RNAcentral.
AUUGAACGCUGGCGGCAUGCCUUACACAUGCAAGUCGAACGGUAACGGGCCUUCGGGUGCCGACGAGUGGCGAACGGGUGCGUAAUACAUCGGAACGUGCCCGAUCGUGGGGGAUAACGAGGCGAAAGCUUUGCUAAUACCGCAUACGAUCUACGGAUGAAAGCAGGGGACCGCAAGGCCUUGCGCGGACGGAGCGGCCGAUGGCAGAUUAGGUAGUUGGUGGGAUAAAAGCUUACCAAGCCGACGAUCUGUAGCUGGUCUGAGAGGAUGAUCAGCCACACUUGGACUGAGACACGGCCCAGACUCCUACGGGAGGCAGCAGUGGGGAAUUUUGGACAAUGGGCGCAAGCCUGAUCCAGCCAUGCCGCGUGCAGGAUGAAGGCCUUCGGGUUGUAAACUGCUUUUGUACGGAACGAAAAGCCUUCUUUUAAUACAGGAGGGUCAUGACGGUACCGUAAGAAUAAGCACCGGCUAACUACGU